RNAcentral lists this ribosomal RNA (450 nucleotides) under uncultured bacterium. RNAcentral's name for it is "partial 16S ribosomal RNA". It matches the Rfam family "Bacterial small subunit ribosomal RNA", at positions 354 to 796 of the family's 1533-position model. The record is from RNAcentral.
GUGGGGAAUAUUGGACAAUGGGCGAAAGCCUGAUCCAGCCAUGCCGCGUGUGUGAAGAAGGUCUUCGGAUUGUAAAGCACUUUAAGUUGGGAGGAAGGGCAGUAAGUUAAUACCUUGCUGUUUUGACGUUACCGACAGAAUAAGCACCGGCUAACUUCGUGCCAGCAGCCGCGGUAAUACGAAGGGUGCAAGCGUUAAUCGGAAUUACUGGGCGUAAAGCGCGCGUAGGUGGUUUUGUAAGUUGGAGGUGAAAUCCCCGGGCUCAACCUGGGAACUGCCUCCAAAACUACUGAGUUAGAGUACGGUAGAGGGUAGUGGAAUUUCCUGUGUAGCGGUGAAAUGCGUAGAUAUAGGAAGGAACACCAGUGGCGAAGGCGACUACCUGGACUGAUACUGACACUGAGGUGCGAAAGCGUGGGGAGCAAACAGGAUUAGAAACCCGAGUAGUCC